This is a long non-coding RNA of Oxyura jamaicensis (ruddy duck), 2867 nucleotides long. RefSeq lists it as uncharacterized. NCBI's taxonomy places the organism in Eukaryota, Metazoa, Chordata, Aves, Anseriformes, Anatidae. The transcript is spliced from 2 exons. The record is from RefSeq and is a predicted model, not a curated record.
UUGAACUCAGCUUUUCUCAUUUUCAACUUCUCUCUCUUCUUUCUCCCUCAUAAGAAAUGAAUAUUGAUUUUCCUCGUUCUGCUGAGUCUGCAGUCCUUGCUAGCAUGUAAUUGCUAUAAACACUUUCACUAGAGCUGGCUAAGAAAACGCCAGCAAACCAAUUUUGAUCGGAAUUUGCCAGCUUGUUGAAAGCAAGACAUCUUGGAGGCAGAUGCUCUUUGUUGUGCGGGGACGACAAGGAGGCAGAGCCUGGCCCCUUGCCAUGGGCAGCCCAGCCCUGCCACCUCUCUCACCAUGCCUCUGGGGAGAGCCCCAGCUCUGCUUCAGAGAGAAAAGGGAGCAUUGGUUCUUGUUCCACACUGAGACCAAGCUGAACCCAGGAACCCUGGAAGUUCUGCAGAAAGGAAUUCCCGUCCUCUGCCAAGGCUCAGCAUCAUGUUAUGACUUCUGAUGUUGAAUGCAAACGUACAAAAUACUGUAUUUUUCAGAAAAGGCUGUAAUUUUCUUGUAAUUGGCAAGUUAUGGUCUCCUUGUACUUGUUUUGCGUAUCAGGUUAUUUUUCAGUGUCGAGGCCAAUUUUGUUUCAGCCUCCCCUCUCACCACCGACUUAAGAGUUGUUCCUGGCACCAGGGGACCUUUACAGCGCGGUGCUGGCCGCACGCGUGAGGCUGUUCUGAUAGCAGGAACUGGAGCCGAAACAGCUCGCUGUUUACAUGAAACUAAAAGUUAAUUCCUUAGCAUCAGCACCGGCCUCUGUGCUUGAGGCUGUGUGCGUGCCUAUCUACAGGGACACCACGGGCUGACCGUGGCUCGCUCCUCUAGGAAAAUGUUUCCUUCGCUUCUGCAGAGAAAGGAAUCAACGCGCGUGAGUCAAGGCACGGCCUGUGGGCUUGCUGUGGCAGCGUGGGAUCGACUGACCUGCAGAGGCUCCAUCAGCAUCACUGCCGCAGUCAGAUAAGCAGUCAGUAAGAUUUGUUGGCUGAUUUCGAUGACACUUUACCCAACAGGACAAGCCCCAGACUGCUGCCAGUACUGCCUGCAUCAUUGCGGCUAGGUUUAAAAGUUGAAUAAUACCUCAGGCCUUCCUGUUCUUCCAUUUCCCGUUAGCUGGAAGAGGAGUAAACCAGGCUAUUCAGUAAGCGCUGUUAACCGCGAGGUGACCUGGUCUUUAAUCUGACCUUUUAACUCCAUGGGUGGGUUUGGCUCCAAGCCUGCCUUAUGCCUGAGUUGCCAAAUUCAAAGAAACAGGUGGAGUUGGACUAUAAGGUGUUUAUUCGUGUUGUGCUGGAAUUCUUUUGCUUUGCCUGAGGCUCUACUUGAGAGGUCUUCAGAGUUAACAAUGCUAUUCCAUUCUUGCCUGAAACAUUUUGUUCUUACAUUUCUCUCCUGUCAGUUGGAAUUAGAGGAACCAGAAAUGUUGUCCCUGUCUAAAUACAGAGCUAAAAGUAAUUCCAUGUUCUGUGAUGCUCGGAGCAUUUCUUUCUGCUUGUGUUGUGUGAAAGAUAUUCAAGAGUGAAGAAAAUACUAGCACCCUUAACAGAGACCCUUUACUGAGCUUUUGUGAAACCUACACGAGGAGAAGGGUCUUGUUCACAGACGUGACAACAGAGGCAAAGUGUACACCACCUCAACGGGAAAACAAUCCACCAAAUACAGGGCAUACAGGAAGGAAACUAGGAAAAACAGGAGAUGGAUGUUUUAUUUUGUGUGUGUGUGCACCACAACAGGUUAUGUUUAUAUCAGAGGGAAGUGCUCUGCACAGUAUGGCCCACAGUUCUUGCCCCCUUGCUGUCCCCAUAUGAAGACCCCCUGGAUCAUGCUGUAGCUCCUUUCUGUCCUGUGCUCUGGAGAUUAGUUCCCUUGGAAACCAAACACACAUUUACACAAUUACUACAUGCAACAAGUAUAAUAGCAAUUAUUCUUUAAAUUGUACUGAACUAGGUAUUUUCAUUUUAUUGUUGGAAGAGGUAUUGUGUAACAUAUUACUCUAUUGUACAUAUAUCUACAGCAACUCUAAUCUUCUAGGCUUUUAUCGUUAUGCUAAAGAGCAGUGUAAGAGGAGGAUGUCCACAUCUCUGAAGUUUUAUUCCAAACUCUUCCUCUCUAAACAAAAAUAUUUUCAUUUUUGGUGAUAAAUCCCACUUGUGAUCAGUUAUCGUAUUUGUAUAAACAUUUUUAAACAUUAACAAAAUGCUGACGGAAUGAUAUUCCCAGUGUAGAGUCCAAAAUAGAAUAAAUAAUACAUAAUUUAAAAAUCUGGCAUACUUAUAAUUUAAAAAAUAAAAAGGAAUCACAUUCUGUUAAAACAUUUCAAUUGCAGCUUUUCUGCAAUUUUAGAAAUUUUCUUUUCUCACCCUAGAUUUGGGCAAUGAUCAGUGAUCACUUGUUCUGGAAGAAGUUGUUUCCAUCCUUUCCGCUGAAAAUUGAAGUGUUUUCAAGAACGUCACAGGAAAAUUUAAAUGGCACAGCAGCAAAUGGUAUUAGAUUCUGAUGCUAUCAAAGAAAGAGCGAGUGGUGAUUAGGGUGCCUGGAGUGAUGCCUGAACAUGGCAUGGAAACUGCAGCACUCAAACCAAACAGGGACCCGACUGAGGGUUUUUUUGGACAACAUAACACAGAAUGCUGUUCACGUCUUCUAUUGUAACUAAUUCUAUAUGCUUGAAACAAACUUCUUAUGAUUUUCUAAGAGCCGGUGACUGGAAUACUCUGGGCAGAGUAUUCUGUUAUUCUUUCCGUUGUCUGAAGCACACACAUUAUGCUGUACAUUUUCCAAAAAAAAAGCUAUUUUCUGUCUUGAAAGAAAUAUCGAUAGCAAAUCAGGUUUCAUUAAUGAUACCCUCCCCCUUUAAUAAAUAUUUGUGUCUAUGA